UUUUUGUGUGUGUGUAUAAAAUGUUCAAAAGAACAGCAUUUAUUUGAAACAGAAGUUUUUGGUAACAUUACAAAU
Molecule: long non-coding RNA, 75 nt
Organism: Sinocyclocheilus anshuiensis
Lineage: Eukaryota; Metazoa; Chordata; Actinopteri; Cypriniformes; Cyprinidae
Exons: 3
Source: RefSeq, a predicted model, not a curated record